This 997-nucleotide long non-coding RNA is filed under the name Capsicum annuum. RNAcentral describes it as "long non-coding RNA (CANN_LNC007310)". The record is from RNAcentral. Lineage: Eukaryota; Viridiplantae; Streptophyta; Magnoliopsida; Solanales; Solanaceae.
UAGAAAACACUCAAAAAAAGUUUCAGCUUCUCCUUCUUCACUGCAGUCUUUCUUGUAACAAUUUACAACUACAUUAUUUUCACUGUUUCAGCCUGCUGUUUUCCAAUCCCUCUUCCCCUUCUUUUAACAUGAUGCCAAUAAGCCAUAUAAAUCAGUGAACCAUGUAAAUCUUUGAGAUAAAGCGAGUUACUUAUUGUUUAUACACCAGUUACAUAAUAUGGUAUAAUGAAACCAUUAUAGUACUACUUGUUCCAGCUCAAAAAUCUUUGAGUUUACUCAUUGUUGUUGUAUUACUCAAAAAAGUGCGUUUUUCACUCUUAUUAUGUACAUUAUACACUGGCGUUGAAGGGGAACAGAGUGGAGGCUAUAGCCAUUGUGUUCCCUAAGUACAAUCAUGCAUUUGUUCGGACUCUCCACAAUGUUUUCGAACCCAUAUCGAAUACUCCAAAAAUGCAAUACCUUUAGAAAAUACGAAAUGCACCUGGCGAUAUCUUUUGAAAAGUCCGAGCAACAUAGGCUUUUAAGUUUGAGUUUCAUUCCACUCUCACCUAGCUUUAAUGUUGUGAACUUACAUUUACAUAUCUUUUUGAAGACCAUAGUAUAACUAUGAAAGCUUUCUAAACAUUGAAGUAUGGUUUAUGAAGUACUGCGAAUAGAUUCAUGUCUUAACCGAAGGUCACAAUCCAACUUGAAGACGGGAGAUUUGGUUUUGUAAUACUUUUACGACCCUUUCCAACUAGAUCAAUAAAAAGAUAACACAGGACACAUGAUUUGUGGGGGUUUUGGUCCAAUACCCAAAAUGUUCACAUGCACAAAGCAUUUAGAUACAACUACUUAAGUACCUAAAAAUACAACAUAUCGAAAUACCCUUAAAUUUCUACUAAUUCCAGGAAGCUGACAUGACAACCAUGAGGUGUGUGCUUCACUCACACUUCUAUAUAGUAUUAAAGUAAAAUAACAUGAUGUAGAUUGUAUUAAACUAAGAUAUAUAGAUGGG